GCCAGGGGUGGGCUGAAGUUUAUUCUUCAGACCCUUCCAUUGGGAGAACUUCUCAUAAAUCCUUGCCUGCAAUUGCUGGUUUCCGUGUCCCAGUUGUCUCACUCAACACCUAACAGGGCUCAUGUUCAAUAAUUAACUGCGGAGUGGCCUUUGCCUGAUCCUAAGCUCCUCGCCAGCCUGCUUGUUCCAGCCCAUCUCCGAGACCACUAAACCGCGGUCGUCUCUGGAAUACUGGAGGGAAAUGCAGAGUAGAAGCCUGAGCCACACACAGAGCCUCUUCCUCUCCCAGUGCAGUCUCUGGAAGAACUCCUGCUGCUCCUUCAACACCAGCCAGGAAACACAUGAAGAUUCCUCCUACCUGUGCAGAUUCAACUGGGACCACUGA
This 385-nucleotide long non-coding RNA is filed under the name Dasypus novemcinctus (nine-banded armadillo). RNAcentral describes it as "lncRNA (ENSDNOG00000050658.1)". The record is from RNAcentral. Lineage: Eukaryota; Metazoa; Chordata; Mammalia; Cingulata; Dasypodidae.